This is a non-coding RNA of Xyrichtys novacula (pearly razorfish), 1950 nucleotides long. Lineage: Eukaryota; Metazoa; Chordata; Actinopteri; Labriformes; Labridae. The record is from the annotation of a GenBank genome assembly.
AGGUUUUGGGGCUAGGGUUAGGUUUAAGGUUUUUGGCGUUAGGGUUAAAAUAACUGUCCAAUAUUUUUUAAGGAACAUGUUUCAGACCUUUGGGAGUUAGUUAGACAAAAAAAAAAAGAAAAAGAAAACAAAAAUAUUUGGGGUGUUCGGGCUUCCUGAAGGUAAUACCCGGGUAUUAGGUUUUGGGGCUAGGGUAAGGUUUAAGGUUUUUGGUGUUAGGGUUAGAAUCACUGUCCAAAACCUUUGUAGGAACUCUUUUCCGACCUUUUGGAGUUAGUUAGACCAAAAAAAAAGAAAAAAGAAAAAAAUAUAUUUGGGGUCUUCGGGCUUCCUGAAGGUAAUGAGGUUAUGGGGCUAGGGUUAGGUUUAAGGUUUUUGGCGUAAGGGUUAAAAUCACUGUCCAAAACCUUUUUAGGAACAUGUUUCAGACCUUUUGGAGUUGGUAACACCAAAAAAAAAUGUAAAAUGAAAAAAAAAUAUUUGGGGUGUUCAAGCUUCCUGAAGGUAAUACCCGGGUAUUAGGUUUUGGGGCUAGGGUAAGGUUUAAGGUUUUUGGCGUUAGGGUUAAAAUCACUGUCCAAAACCUUUUAAGGAACAAGAUUCAGACCUUUUGGAGUUGGUUACACCAAAAAAAAUGUAAAAUGAAAAAAAAAAUAUUUGGGGUGUUCAGGCUUCCUUAAGGUAAUACCCUUCAGGUUUAAGUGUAUUAGGUUAUGGGGCUAGGAUUAGGUUUAAGGUUUUUGGCGUAAGGGUUAAAAUCACUGUCCAAUAUUUUUUAAGGAACAUGUUUCAGACCUUUUGGAGCUAGUUUGACCAAAAAAAAAAAAGAAAAAGAAAAAAUAUAUAUUUGGGGUGUUCGGGCUUCCUGAAGGUAAUACCCGGGUAUUAGGUUAUGGGGCUAGGUUAAGGUUUAAGGUUUUUGGCGUGAGGGUUAAAAUCACUGUCCAAAACCUUUGUAGGAAGUCUUUUCCAACCUUUUGGAGUUAGUUAGACAAAAAAAAAAGAUAAAUGAAAAAAAAAUAUUUGGGGUGUUCGGGCUUCCUGAAGGUAAUACCCAGGUAUUAGGUUAUGGGGCUAGGGUAAGGUUUAAGGUUUUUGGCGUAAGGGUUAAAAUCACUGUCCAAAACCUUUUUAGGAACAUGUUUCAGACCUUUUGGAGUUGGUUACACCAAAAAAAAUGUAAAAUGAAAAAAAAUUUUUUUUGGGUGUUCGGGCUUCCUGAAGGUAAUACUAGGUUUCUGGGCUAGGGUAAUGUUUAAGGUUUUUGGCGUUAGGGUUAAAAUCAAUGUCCAAAACCUUUGUAGGAACUCUUUUCCAACCUUUGAGAGCAAGUUAGACCAGAACAAAAAGAACUAGGGCCCCGGUGGGGCACUGUCGGGCCCGAGCCGCGUCGUGCCGCCCCCAGCGUGACCGCCUCCCCCUCCCGAUCGCGUCACACUCAAGGUCCAAAGAUGGUGUGCGCACUUGUCUGUGGUCAUUUCCCAUUAUAAUGAAUGGGAGGCGCAGUUUCUACCAAAACACUCGCUGCAGACAAACUUCAUGUCCUAUUUGAAAAAAGUCUGGACCAUGAGUGAGGGCACAAACACAGCUGGGAUAUAUCCAAAUGGCAGGUUGCUCCUCGUUACGGUGUUGCCUGGAGAGCGAUGCGAUUGAGCCAUUGAGCGAUGGGCAGGAAAAACUUGACUUUUUCUCCUGCCAUGGGGGGGGGGGAGAAUGUGGAUUCUUUUAAGAAUGUGGAUUUUUUGGUCAUCUUUGGCGCCCCCUAGAACGUAAACCGUGGGGUGCAGCGUCAUGAUUUUUACAACUUUGAAUGGCCAUGGGGUGUAGAUUGGCCUGAGCAAAUUUGGUUUCAGUGGGACGAAAGCCUUAGGAGGAGUUAGCCACAUUCCAAUGUGUGCGAAUCGGCAAAAAAUGCAAAAUAGCCCUCUAACCGUACAUUUGACAGAUACG